This 253-nucleotide ribosomal RNA is filed under the name uncultured bacterium. RNAcentral describes it as "partial 16S ribosomal RNA". It matches the Rfam family "Bacterial small subunit ribosomal RNA", at positions 524 to 776 of the family's 1533-position model. The record is from RNAcentral.
UAUGUAGGGUGCAAGCGUUAAUCGGAAUUACUGGGCGUAAAGCGUGCGCAGGCGGUUAUGCAAGUCAGAUGUGAAAUCCCCGGGCUCAACCUGGGAACUGCAUUUGUGACUGCAUGGCUAGAGUGCGGCAGAGGGGGAUGGAAUUCCGCGUGUAGCAGUGAAAUGCGUAGAUAUGCGGAGGAACACCGAUGGCGAAGGCAAUCCCCUGGGCCUGCACUGACGCUCAUGCACGAAAGCGUGGGGAGCAAACAGG